UACGUAGGGUGCAAGCGUUAAUCGGAAUUACUGGGCGUAAAGCGUGCGCAGGCGGUUGUGCAAGACAGAUGUGAAAUCCCCGGGCUCAACCUGGGAACUGCAUUGGAAACUAACGGGCUCGAGUGUGGCAGAGGGGGGUGGAAUUCCACGUGUAGCAGUGAAAUGCGUAGAGAUGUGGAGGAACACCGAUGGCGAAGGCAGCCCCCUGGGCUAACACUGACGCUCAGGCACGAAAGCGUGGGGAGCAAACAGG
This 253-nucleotide ribosomal RNA is filed under the name uncultured bacterium. Its description in RNAcentral is "partial 16S ribosomal RNA". It matches the Rfam family "Bacterial small subunit ribosomal RNA", at positions 524 to 776 of the family's 1533-position model. The record is from RNAcentral.